Molecule: ribosomal RNA, 508 nt
Filed under: uncultured bacterium
Lineage: Bacteria
Description: partial 16S ribosomal RNA
Rfam family: Bacterial small subunit ribosomal RNA
Source: RNAcentral
GACGAACGCUGGCGGCGUGCUUAACACAUGCAAGUCGAACGGGAUAAUUUGAGAGCUUGCUCUUAGAGAAUCUAGUGGCAAACGGGUGAGUAACACGUAGACAACCUGCCGACAGGAUGGGGACAACAUUCCGAAAGGAAUGCUAAUACCGAAUGAAGCGGAGGAGAGGCAUCUCUCCUCCGUGAAAGAUGGCCUCUGAAUAUGCUAUCACCUGUCGAUGGGUCUGCGUCUGAUUAGCUAGUUGGUGAGGUAACGGCUCACCAAGGCGACGAUCAGUAGCCGGUCUGAGAGGAUGAACGGCCACAUUGGGACUGAGACACGGCCCAGACUCCUACGGGAGGCAGCAGUGGGGAAUCUUCCGCAAUGGGCGCAAGCCUGACGGAGCAACGCCGCGUGAGUGAAGAAGGUCUUCGGAUCGUAAAGCUCUGUUGACGGGGACGAACGUGCGAAGGGUGAAUAAUCCUUUGUAAUGACGGUACCUGUCGAGGAAGCCACGGCUAACUACGUG